AGCGUACACGGUGGAUGCCCUGGCAGUCAGAGGCGAUGAAGGACGUGCUAAUCUGCGAUAAGCGUCGGUAAGGUGAUAUGAACCGUUAUAACCGGCGAUUUCCGAAUGGGGAAACCCAGUGUGUUUCGACACACUAUCAUUAACUGAAUCCAUAGGUUAAUGAGGCGAACCGGGGGAACUGAAACAUCUAAGUACCCCGAGGAAAAGAAAUCAACCGAGAUUCCCCCAGUAGCGGCGAGCGAACGGGGAGCAGCCCAGAGCCUGAAUCAGUGUGUGUGUUAGUGGAAGCGUCUGGAAAGGCGCGCGAUACAGGGUGACAGCCCCGUACACAAAAAUGCACAUGCUGUGAGCUCGAUGAGUAGGGCGGGACACGUGGUAUCCUGUCUGAAUAUGGGGGGACCAUCCUCCAAGGCUAAAUACUCCUGACUGACCGAUAGUGAACCAGUACCGUGAGGGAAAGGCGAAAAGAACCCCGGCGAGGGGAGUGAAAAAGAACCUGAAACCGUGUACGUACAAGCAGUGGGAGCACAGAGCAAUCUGUGUGACUGCGUACCUUUUGUAUAAUGGGUCAGCGACUUAUAUUCUGUAGCAAGGUUAACCGAAUAGGGGAGCCGAAGGGAAACCGAGUCUUAACUGGGCGUUAAGUUGCAGGGUAUAGACCCGAAACCCGGUGAUCUAGCCAUGGGCAGGUUGAAGGUUGGGUAACACUAACUGGAGGACCGAACCGACUAAUGUUGAAAAAUUAGCGGAUGACUUGUGGCUGGGGGUGAAAGGCCAAUCAAACCGGGAGAUAGCUGGUUCUCCCCGAAAGCUAUUUAGGUAGCGCCUCGUGAAUUCAUCUCCGGGGGUAGAGCACUGUUUCGGCAAGGGGGUCAUCCCGACUUACCAACCCGAUGCAAACUGCGAAUACCGGAGAAUGUUAUCACGGGAGACACACGGCGGGUGCUAACGUCCGUCGUGAAGAGGGAAACAACCCAGACCGCCAGCUAAGGUCCCAAAGUCAUGGUUAAGKGGGAAACGAUGUGGGAAGGCCCAGACAGCCAGGAUGUUGGCUUAGAAGCAGCCAUCAUUUAAAGAAAGCGUAAUAGCUCACUGGUCGAGUCGGCCUGCGCGGAAGAUGUAACGGGGCUAAACCAUGCACCGAAGCUGCGGCAGCGACGCUUAUGCGUUGUUGGGUAGGGGAGCGUUCUGUAAGCCUGCGAAGGUGUGCUGUGAGGCAUGCUGGAGGUAUCAGAAGUGCGAAUGCUGACAUAAGUAACGAUAAAGCGGGUGAAAAGCCCGCUCGCCGGAAGACCAAGGGUUCCUGUCCAACGUUAAUCGGGGCAGGGUGAGUCGACCCCUAAGGCGAGGCCGAAAGGCGUAGUCGAUGGGAAACAGGUUAAUAUUCCUGUACUUGGUGUUACUGCGAAGGGGGGACGGAGAAGGCUAUGUUGGCCGGGCGACGGUUGUCCCGGUUUAAGCGUGUAGGCUGGUUUUCCAGGCAAAUCCGGAAAAUCAAGGCUGAGGCGUGAUGACGAGGCACUACGGUGCUGAAGCAACAAAUGCCCUGCUUCCAGGAAAAGCCUCUAAGCAUCAGGUAACAUCAAAUCGUACCCCAAACCGACACAGGUGGUCAGGUAGAGAAUACCAAGGCGCUUGAGAGAACUCGGGUGAAGGAACUAGGCAAAAUGGUGCCGUAACUUCGGGAGAAGGCACGCUGAUAUGUAGGUGAAGUCCCUUGCGGAUGGAGCUGAAAUCAGUCGAAGAUACCAGCUGGCUGCAACUGUUUAUUAAAAACACAGCACUGUGCAAACACGAAAGUGGACGUAUACGGUGUGACGCCUGCCCGGUGCCGGAAGGUUAAUUGAUGGGGUUAGCGCAAGCGAAGCUCUUGAUCGAAGCCCCGGUAAACGGCGGCCGUAACUAUAACGGUCCUAAGGUAGCGAAAUUCCUUGUCGGGUAAGUUCCGACCUGCACGAAUGGCGUAAUGAUGGCCAGGCUGUCUCCACCCGAGACUCAGUGAAAUUGAACUCGCUGUGAAGAUGCAGUGUACCCGCGGCAAGACGGAAAGACCCCGUGAACCUUUACUAUAGCUUGACACUGAACAUUGAGCCUUGAUGUGUAGGAUAGGUGGGAGGCUUUGAAGUGUGGACGCCAGUCUGCAUGGAGCCGACCUUGAAAUACCACCCUUUAAUGUUUGAUGUUCUAACGUUGACCCGUGAUCCGGGUUGCGGACAGUGUCUGGUGGGUAGUUUGACUGGGGCGGUCUCCUCCUAAAGAGUAACGGAGGAGCACGAAGGUUGGCUAAUCCUGGUCGGACAUCAGGAGGUUAGUGCAAUGGCAUAAGCCAGCUUGACUGCGAGCGUGACGGCGCGAGCAGGUGCGAAAGCAGGUCAUAGUGAUCCGGUGGUUCUGAAUGGAAGGGCCAUCGCUCAACGGAUAAAAGGUACUCCGGGGAUAACAGGCUGAUACCGCCCAAGAGUUCAUAUCGACGGCGGUGUUUGGCACCUCGAUGUCGGCUCAUCACAUCCUGGGGCUGAAGUAGGUCCCAAGGGUAUGGCUGUUCGCCAUUUAAAGUGGUACGCGAGCUGGGUUUAGAACGUCGUGAGACAGUUCGGUCCCUAUCUGCCGUGGGCGCUGGAGAACUGAGGGGGGCUGCUCCUAGUACGAGAGGACCGGAGUGGACGCAUCACUGGUGUUCGGGUUGUCAUGCCAAUGGCACUGCCCGGUAGCUAAAUGCGGAAGAGAUAAGUGCUGAAAGCAUCUAAGCACGAAACUUGCCCCGAGAUGAGUUCUCCCUGACUCCUUGA
Molecule: ribosomal RNA, 2789 nt
Filed under: Escherichia coli
Lineage: Bacteria; Pseudomonadati; Pseudomonadota; Gammaproteobacteria; Enterobacterales; Enterobacteriaceae
Description: bacterial LSU rRNA
Source: RNAcentral